UAUACCGUGAAACUGCGAAUGGCUCAUUAAAUCAGUUAUCGUUUAUUUGAUAAUACCUUACUACUUGGAUAACCGUGGUAAUUCUAGAGCUAAUACAUGCUGAAAAUCCCGACUUCGGAAGGGAUGUGUUUAUUAGAUAAAAAACCAAUGCCCUUCGGGGCUUUUUGGUGAUUCAUGAUAACUUUACGGAUCGCAUAGCCUUGCGCUGGCGACGGUUCAUUCAAAUUUCUGCCCUAUCAACUUUCGAUGGUAAGGUAUUGGCUUACCAUGGUUUCAACGGGUAACGGGGAAUUAGGGUUCGAUUCCGGAGAGGGAGCCUGAGAAACGGCUACCACAUCCAAGGAAGGCAGCAGGCGCGCAAAUUACCCAAUCCCGACACGGGGAGGUAGUGACAAUAAAUACUGAUACAGGGCUCUUUUGGGUCUUGUAAUUGGAAUGAGUACAAUUUAAACCUCUUAACGAGGAACAAUUGGAGGGCAAGUCUGGUGCCAGCAGCCGCGGUAAUUCCAGCUCCAAUAGCGUAUAUUAAAGUUGUUGCAGUUAAAAAGCUCGUAGUUGAAACUUGGGCCUGGCUGGCGGGUCCGCCUCACCGCGUGCACUCGUCCGGCCGGGCCUUCCUUCUGAAGAACCUCAUGCCCUUUACUGGGCGUGUUGGGGAAUCAGGACUUUUACUUUGAAAAAAUUAGAGUGUUCAAAGCAGGCCUUUGCUCGAAUACGUUAGCAUGGAAUAAUAAAAUAGGGCGUGCGUUUCUAUUUUGUUGGUUUCUAGAGACGCCGCAAUGAUUAACAGGAACAGUCGGGGGCAUCAGUAUUCAGUUGUCAGAGGUGAAAUUCUUGGAUUUACUGAAGACUAACUACUGCGAAAGCAUUUGCCAAGGAUGUUUUCAUUAAUCAGUGAACGAAAGUUAGGGGAUCGAAGACGAUCAGAUACCGUCGUAGUCUUAACCGUAAACUAUGCCGACUAGGGAUCGGGCGAUGUUCUUUUUCUGACUCGCUCGGCACCUUACGAGAAAUCAAAGU
This 1020-nucleotide ribosomal RNA is filed under the name Alternaria carotiincultae. RNAcentral describes it as "SSU rRNA". It matches the Rfam family "Eukaryotic small subunit ribosomal RNA", at positions 75 to 1104 of the family's 1831-position model. RNAcentral also lists the same sequence under 1 other name. The record is from RNAcentral. Lineage: Eukaryota; Fungi; Ascomycota; Dothideomycetes; Pleosporales; Pleosporaceae.